GAUGAACGCUGGCGGCGUGCCUAAUACAUGCAAGUCGAGCGAACGGACGAGAAGCUUGCUUUUCUGAUGUUAGCGGCGGACGGGUGAGUAACACGUGGAUAACCUGCCUAUAAGACUGGGAUAACUUCGGGAAACCGGAGCUAAUACCGGAUAAUAUUUUGAACCGCAUGGUUCAAAAGUGAAAGACGGUCUUGCUGUCACUUAUAGAUGGAUCCGCGCUGCAUUGGCUAGUUGGUAAGGUAACGGCUUACCAAGGCAACGAUGCAUAGCCGACCUGAGAGGGUGAUCGGCCACACUGGAACUGAGACACGGUCCAGACUCCUACGGGAGGCAGCAGUAGGGAAUCUUCCGCAAUGGGCGAAAGCCUGACGGAGCAACGCCGCGUGAGUGAUGAAGGUCUUCGGAUCGUAAAACUCUGUUAUUAGGGAAGAACAUAUGUGUAAGUAACUGUGCACAUCUUGACGGUACCUAAUCAGAAAGCCACGGCUAACUACGUG
Molecule: ribosomal RNA, 497 nt
Filed under: uncultured bacterium
Lineage: Bacteria
Description: partial 16S ribosomal RNA
Rfam family: Bacterial small subunit ribosomal RNA
Source: RNAcentral